CCUGGCUCAGGAUGAACGCUAGCGGCAGGCCUAACACAUGCAAGUCGAGGGGCAGCGGGGAAAAGCUUGCUUUUCCGCCGGCGACCGGCGCACGGGUGCGCACCGCGUAUGGAACCUGCCUUGUACAGGGGAAUAGCCCAGGGAAACUUGGAUUAAUGCCCCGUAGUACCGUAUUUCGGCAUCGUUAUAUGGUUAAAGCCUUCGGGCGGUACAAGAUGGCCAUGCGUCCCAUUAGCUUGUUGGUAAGGUAACGGCUUACCAAGGCUACGAUGGGUAGGGGCCCUGAGAGGGGGAUCCCCCACACUGGUACUGAGACACGGACCAGACUCCUACGGGAGGCAGCAGUGAGGAAUAUUGGACAAUGGAGGAGACUCUGAUCCAGCCAUGCCGCGUGCAGGAAGAAUGCCCUAUGGGUAGUAAACUCUUUUAUACGGGAAGAAAAAGAGCUACGUGUAGCUUACUGACGGU
RNAcentral lists this ribosomal RNA (468 nucleotides) under Maribacter sp. CC68. RNAcentral's name for it is "bacterial SSU rRNA". It matches the Rfam family "Bacterial small subunit ribosomal RNA", at positions 18 to 476 of the family's 1533-position model. Lineage: Bacteria; Pseudomonadati; Bacteroidota; Flavobacteriia; Flavobacteriales; Flavobacteriaceae. The record is from RNAcentral.